This 77-nucleotide transfer RNA is filed under the name Brevundimonas phage vB_BgoS-Bajun. RNAcentral's name for it is "tRNA-Pro". It matches the Rfam family "tRNA". Rfam says of the family: Transfer RNA (tRNA) molecules are approximately 80 nucleotides in length. The record is from RNAcentral. Lineage: Duplodnaviria; Heunggongvirae; Uroviricota; Caudoviricetes.
CGGUGUUUAGCGCAGUCUGGUAGCGCACUCGGUCCGGAACCGAGGGGUCGCAGGUUCAAAUCCUGCAACGCCGACCA